RNAcentral lists this ribosomal RNA (397 nucleotides) under uncultured bacterium. RNAcentral's name for it is "partial 16S ribosomal RNA". It matches the Rfam family "Bacterial small subunit ribosomal RNA", at positions 523 to 918 of the family's 1533-position model. The record is from RNAcentral.
AUACGUAGGGGGCGAGCGUUGUCCGGAAUGAUUGGGCGUAAAGGGCGCGUAGGCGGCCCGGUAAGUCUGGAGUGCAAGUCCUGUUUUUAAGAUGGGACUUGCUUUGGAUACUGUCGGGCUUGAGUGCAGGAGAGGUAAGUGGAAUUCCCAGUGUAGCGGAGAAAUGCGUAGAGAUUGGGAGGAACAACAGUGGCGAAGGCGACUUACUGGACUGUAACUGACGCUGAGGCGCGAAAGUGUGGGGAGCAAACAGGAUUAGAUACCCUGGUAGUCCACACUGUAAACGAUGAAUGCUAGGUGUAGGGGGUAUCGACCCCUUCUGUGCCGCAGUCAACACAAUAAGCAUUCCGCCUGGGGAGUACGGCCGCAAGGUUGAAACUCAAAUGAAUUGACGGGG